Molecule: ribosomal RNA, 595 nt
Filed under: Moesziomyces aphidis
Lineage: Eukaryota; Fungi; Basidiomycota; Ustilaginomycetes; Ustilaginales; Ustilaginaceae
Description: partial large subunit ribosomal RNA
Rfam family: Eukaryotic large subunit ribosomal RNA
Source: RNAcentral
GCGAGUGAAGAGGGAAGAGCCCAAGAUUGAAAGCUGGCGUCUUCGGCGUCCGCAUUGUAAUCUCAAGAAGUGUUUUCCGCUUCGGACCAAGCCUAAGUCCCUUGGAAAAGGGCAUCAUAGAGGGUGAUAAUCCCGUACAUGGCUUGGAGCGCCCGAAGCUUUGUGAUACGCUUUCUAAGAGUCGAGUUGUUUGGGAAUGCAGCUCAAAAUGGGUGGUAAAUGCCAUCUAAGGCUAAAUAUUGGGGAGAGACCGAUAGCGAACAAGUACAGUGAUGGAAAGAUGAAAAGAACUUUGAAAAGAGAGUUAAACAGUACGUGAAAUUGCCAAAAGGGAAGGGUAGGAGGUCAGAGAUGCGGCCUGGGAUUCAGCCUUGCUUUUGCUUGGUGUUUUUCCCAGAUUGCAGGCCAACGUCGGUUUUGGGCACUGGAGAAGGGUAGGAGGAACGUGGCACCUCUCGGGGUGUGUUAUAGCCUCCUACUGGAUACAGCGACCGAGACCGAGGACAGCAGCGUACUCGCAAGAGCGGGCCUUCGGGCACCUUUACGCUUAGGGCGUUGGCAUAAUGGCCCUCUACCACCCGUCUUGAAACACGGA